AUUGAACGCUGGCGGCAGGCCUAACACAUGCAAGUCGAGCGGAAACGAGUUAUCUGAACCUUCGGGGAACGAUAACGGCGUCGAGCGGCGGACGGGUGAGUAAUGCCUAGGAAAUUGCCCUGAUGUGGGGGAUAACCAUUGGAAACGAUGGCUAAUACCGCAUGAUGCCUACGGGCCAAAGAGGGGGACCUUCGGGCCUCUCGCGUCAGGAUAUGCCUAGGUGGGAUUAGCUAGUUGGUGAGGUAAGGGCUCACCAAGGCGACGAUCCCUAGCUGGUCUGAGAGGAUGAUCAGCCGCACUGGAACUGAGACACGGUCCAGACUCCUACGGGAGGCAGCAGUGGGGAAUAUUGCACAAUGGGCGCAAGCCUGAUGCAGCCAUGCCGCGUGUAUGAAGAAGGCCUUCGGGUUGUAAAGUACUUUCAGUCGUGAGGAAGGCGGCGUCGUUAAUAGCGGCGUUGUUUGACGUUAGCGACAGAAGAAGCACCGGCUAACUCCGUGCCAGCAGCCGCGGUAAUACGGAGGGUGCGAGCGUUAAUCGGAAUUACUGGGCGUAAAGCGCAUGCAGGUGGUUUGUUAAGUCAGAUGUGAAAGCCCGGGGCUCAACCUCGGAAUAGCAUUUGAAACUGGCAGACUAGAGUACUGUAGAGGGGGGUAGAAUUUCAGGUGUAGCGGUGAAAUGCGUAGAGAUCCGAAGGAAUACCGGUGGCGAAGGCGGCCCCCUGGACAGAUACUGACACUCAGGUGCGAAAGCGUGGGGAGCAAACAGG
This 769-nucleotide ribosomal RNA is filed under the name uncultured Pseudoalteromonadaceae bacterium. RNAcentral's name for it is "bacterial SSU rRNA". It matches the Rfam family "Bacterial small subunit ribosomal RNA", at positions 28 to 776 of the family's 1533-position model. Lineage: Bacteria; Pseudomonadati; Pseudomonadota; Gammaproteobacteria; Alteromonadales; Pseudoalteromonadaceae. The record is from RNAcentral.